Molecule: long non-coding RNA, 2536 nt
Filed under: Sus scrofa (pig)
Lineage: Eukaryota; Metazoa; Chordata; Mammalia; Artiodactyla; Suidae
Description: lncRNA (ENSSSCG00025075219.1, ENSSSCG00035061500.1, ENSSSCG00055025531.1)
Source: RNAcentral
AAGAAGAUGAAAAAUAAAGUAAAAGAAAAGAAAAGAAAGCCAGGUCUAAGGACUAGCUAAGAUGAUCUUUCCAUUGGUUCUGUAAGAAAUAUCGGGAUGGGAGGACCUUUGGUCCCUGGCCCCCUGCCGCCAGGACUUCGGGCUCACAGCCGAUCUGAAUGCUUAUGGUCCUUAGGGCUGGAUGUGGCUGUUUCUCUGGGACACUGGGGAGUAAGGAUCCGAUAGGUCUUUGCCCUCAUCCCUCCAGGCUUACGGCAGGGGACCAGGGAGCAUCCUCGGAAAUCCUCAGAAGAGAAGCAACCUAAGCCAGAGCCUUUUCAGUCCCUGCUCCUUCCGCAGCGAUGGGUCACCAAAGCCAGCCCCCAGAACGUAGACCUUAGGAAGGAAGCAAGUGCUGUCUCGUGUGCAUCCCUGGGGGAUUGGCUCUAAUGAUGUCCUAGUUUAGGUUUCCCAAGAAACAGACCCUGAGACAGGGACGUGAGAUCAGGUGGUUUGGCAGGGGAGCGGGGGAGGUGAUCUCAGAUUGGGGAGUAAAGAAACAGGAGGCCAGUGACAGGGGGUGUGUUAUCAAGCAACUCAGCACUGCAGGCACCUGGAGCCACAGCCACUGUUGAGUUCUCAGACACAGUACAAACAUGCACCAGCAUCCACUGAAUUUGUUUGGUAUCCCAGGUCUGCCAGUCAUUGGUGAGCGGGGGGCGGGAGGGACAGGCAGUGCUAUGGCUGUGAACAGAGGAGGCUGGAGCAGAGCAGGUACUCAGGAAAAGGGGCGGGGGUGCUGACAGGUAGUCGAAAAGGGGCCCAGGGAUAUGCAAGGAGCGGAUCGUGUCUGCCACAAAUACCACAGGGCCCUGGGGCUGGCUUGCUGCCCGCCUAUCCCUCCCACUUUGUGGAAGUUCCUGGGCCAGGGAUCGAACCCACCCAGCAGUGAGAAUGCUGGAUCCUUACCCCACUGAGCCACCAGGGAAUUCCGGAUGCUCAGCGAUGCCAAGUGGGUAAGAACCCAGCAUCACCUGUCCUCCUGCUUUUAGCAACAGAACCCCAAUUUUCUUUGGGGGACCCACAUUCCUUAACAUACCCUUCUCUGCUCAUUGGGGGUUCUGAAGGUGGGGUUUGCCUGUUUGGCUCUAGGGGUCUCAGCUCCCACUAAUGGCGUAUAGCAGCCCCCUGGCCAUAGCCAUUGUUUCUGAGGCGGGUCUGUGUUCCAUUCCGGCCAAUAGGGAAGAGAGAACGCUCUUUCCAUCGCACUGAAAAAGGAUGGGAUAUAAGUCUGGAGAUGCUCCCACCAGGGAGAACCUCCCAGAGGAAGAAGCCAACAUAGCAAGGAGCAGAACCAAGAGAUGGAUAGUGUAGGAAUCCCUGUGCCAUCAUUUGAGCCCCUGGAUCUAGCCACACCUGAAGACGCUAGACUUUCCAGCAGUCUAGUUCCAGUAAAGUCCCUUUUGUGUUUAACUCAGCUGGACUUGGGUCUCUGUCACUUAUACCCCCAAGCUCUACACGGUGUGUAGUGUGGGUUUUUUUCCUUUUUAUGGCUGCACCUGCGGCAUAUGGAAUUUCCCAGGCUAGGGGUCAAAUCGGAGCUGCAUCUGUUGGCCUACACCACAGCCAACAGCAAUGUGGGAUCCGAGCUGCAUCAGCAACCUACACCGUAGCUUGUGGCAACACCAGAUCCUUAACCCACUGAGUGAGGCCAGGGAUCAAACCCACAUCCACAUGGAUGCUAGUCAGGUCCUUAACCACUGGGCUGUCCAGCCUGUCCGGCACAGCCAUCCUCUCCUUUCACCCGGUUCCAUUCAUCUCACUUCCAUUCCUCUCCCCAUUCACCUCUCUCUCCCAAUUUCUGCUCCUUUGCCUGCGGGCUGCUGCCCGGAGGGGCUCUGUGCUGGCCUGAGACUGGAGGGAGGGACACAGGGAGGAGGCCUUGUGCUGGGUGGUGGCGGGGGUGGGGGGCAGCCCCUCCCUCCUCCGUUCCCAGCCUGAUGAUGGAGGCUUGGCCGGGAGGAGGUGGGCAGGGUUGGAGCAGGAGGGGGCUGGGUGGAGCCAGGCCUGCAAGCCCUAAUUAAGUCAGCUAAUUAGGUGGGGAGGAGAAGCCUGUGGGAGUUAAUGAGCUUGGCUAAUUAAGUGGAUCCUGGAGAAUGGCUCAAAACCUAGUGGCUCAGGAGACCUGGGGGCUCAGCCAGGAUGGAGGGAGGGGGGAUGAAGUGCCUGGCGCCUCCUGAUUGUCACCAAAAUCUGCAGCCACUGCUGAGCUUUGAGGCCACUGAGGCCACUGCUAAGACCUACAGUGACCAUCAGGGUGGGCAGCUGCCCACAGGGUCUGGCUUGAAGUUACCGUUAGGGUGUGGCGCCCUCACCAGGGCCACGCCUGCUAUUGACGCUUGGGUUGAAGUCACCCUGGAGGCCUGGUCCUCUGUCACCCAUCUCUCAGGGGUUAAAGCUGGAUUAGCCUUUGAACAUUUGGGGCGAUGGAGGCAGAGAAUGAGCCUGGACCCAGGGACGCUUUGGGGCAGCCACAACAACCCCUGGGACAGGUCGG